Molecule: ribosomal RNA, 791 nt
Filed under: Anguillicola crassus
Lineage: Eukaryota; Metazoa; Nematoda; Chromadorea; Rhabditida; Anguillicolidae
Description: LSU rRNA
Rfam family: Eukaryotic large subunit ribosomal RNA
Source: RNAcentral
AAGUACCGUGAGGGAAAGUUGCAAAGAACUUUGAGGAGAGAGUUCAAGAGGGCGUGAAACUGCCAAGAAUGAAGCGGAUAGAGUUAACGGAAAUCGGUGGCAUUCAGCGAAUGGGGCGAAUGCGGUUACAGGAUUGGUACUCGUGAAGCGGUACGAGAAUGUGACAUGUUUUGGUGUCGUUGGCGCAUUUGCCACUGAUGAGCGCUGGGUGUUUUGUUGUUUAAUGCUGAACCGAGCUUAGUGGACCAAGCGUUCGCGUUUGGGAACCUGUGCUCGGCUAGGCUUGUGAAUGAUAAUGCGUGUUAUAUAUACGCCUCGUGUUGUGCGUUGAGUUGAUUAUCUGUUGUUCGUGGUGCUAUGCGGUGGCAUGCGACUUGAUGGUGGUAUGAUUUCGGUGAUCGGCUUUGACGAGUUAGAGGUGAGUCCCGGUGUGAGCGUUGGUCACCUAUCCGACCCGUCUUGAAACACGGACCAAGGAGUCUGGCAUGUGCGCAAGUCACUAGUUGGUAAAUCGGAGAGGCGAAAUGAAAGUGAAAGCCGACUCGAUCGGCCGCUAUGGGAUUCGUGCUUUAUGCUUGGGCGCGACGCACCAUAGCCCCGUCUUUGUUGCUUGCAAUAGGGCGGAGGUAGAGCGUACAUGCCGGUACCCGAAAGAUGGUGAACUAUGCCUGAGCAGGAUGAAGCCAGAGGAAACUCUGGUGGAAGCUCGAAGCGGUUCUGACGUGCAAAUCGAUCGUCUGACUUGGGUAUAGGGGCGAAAGACUAAUCGAACCAUCUAGUAGCUGGUUCCU